RNAcentral lists this ribosomal RNA (121 nucleotides) under Microtetrameres cloacitectus. RNAcentral's name for it is "partial 5.8S ribosomal RNA". It matches the Rfam family "5.8S ribosomal RNA", at positions 33 to 154 of the family's 154-position model. From Rfam's summary of the family: 5.8S ribosomal RNA (5.8S rRNA) is a component of the large subunit of the eukaryotic ribosome. It is transcribed by RNA polymerase I as part of the 45S precursor that also contains 18S and 28S rRNA. Lineage: Eukaryota; Metazoa; Nematoda; Chromadorea; Rhabditida; Habronematidae. The record is from RNAcentral.
UCGAUGAAGAACGCAGCUAGCUGCGAUAAAUAGUGCGAAUUGCAGACGCAUUGAGUACAAAGAUUUCGAAUGCACAUUGCACCAUCGGGUUGAUUCCCGAUGGUACGUCUGGCUGAGGGUC